This is a long non-coding RNA of Cebus imitator (Panamanian white-faced capuchin), 1226 nucleotides long. RefSeq lists it as uncharacterized. The transcript has 2 exons. The record is from RefSeq and is a predicted model, not a curated record. Lineage: Eukaryota; Metazoa; Chordata; Mammalia; Primates; Cebidae.
CAGCAAUUUCAUUAUGAUCAAGAACCAUUGAUAGGGAGCUAAUGUAGUUAUUUUGUGGGCCAAGGCACAGCUCAGCACUCCUGGACUACAUACUCUGACCUUAGAGGACUUGGGCCAGGCCCACAGCGUUGUUCUAUUGCUUCUUGAGUUUAAGUGUAUGCUAUGGUGGAAGGGCCAAGGUGUUCUUAUCUUCUGGGAAAAACGCUGCAAUACAGGGUGACAGCAAAACUACUUCAUCUGGGUGAUAGCAGUGGAAUCCACAUGUGUGCAUUAGCAGCAGCAAGGUGGUGGUGGAAUCUAUAUAUGCAUAUGCCAGAUAUAUCAUGUGUAAGCUCUGAAUGUACUUAACACCACACACCCAAAAUAUGUGAAGAAAAGACACAUAAUCAAAGAAAGAAAUAGAAAAUUAGAUAUAAUUCAGUACUACACAUUCAACAGUGAAUAGUAUACCUAGGCAGAUCAAUAACAAAAUAGAAUACGUGAAUAACACAACAACAGUAUAACAUAAUAAAGCCUGCUAUACACAUAAAGAACACAGCACACAACAAACCUGGAUACACGGUUUUCUCAAGUGUAUGUGAAACUUUAUCCAGCAUAUACUGUAUGAUAUGUUAUAAAACAUAUCUUAAGGUUUUUCUUUAAAUGAUAUAAUAAAAUAUAUUUUCUCAGACUACAAUGAAAGAAGUUAGAAAGUGAUAAUGGGAGAAAAUUUUGGAAAUUCACAAUUUUGUGGAAAUUUUUAAAAUAAUUGGUUAAAGAGGAAGUCACAAUAGAAUUCAGAAAACACCUUGGGAAUAAUUAAUACAGACACAUAACACACUAAAAUAUAUGGAAUGCAGCUAAUGCAGUGCUUAGAGGGGAAGUUAUUUUUUAUCUGGCUCUCUUACAGGAAAGAAAUAUUUCAAAUCAAUACUAUAAAUUUUCACCUUCAAAAAUUAAAAAAAGUAGAGCAAACCACAUCCAAAAUAAAUGGAAGGAAACAGUGUAUAUUAGAACAAAAAAUGAAGUAGAGAAUAGAGUUCAAUAAAGUUAUUAAUAAAACCAAAAGUUGAUUCUUAGAAAAUAUAAACCAUUAAUCAACUGAUAAAGAGAAAAACCCACAUAUUUGAAUAAAUAGAAUAACUUGAUUGCAGAUAUAAAUAUCAUUAUAUCUUUGGUGGUGAUAAGUUGAGGAAGUAUAUAUCUGGCCACUCUGGAUAUCUGUGUAAAAUAAAAUGUUAGGUGGA